AGGGAAUCUUCCGCAAUGGGCGAAAGCCUGACGGAGCAACGCCGCGUGAGUGAUGAAGGUCUUCGGAUCGUAAAACUCUGUUAUUAGGGAAGAGCAUAUGUGUAAGUAACUGUGCACAUCUUGACGGUACCUAAUCAGAAAGCCACGGCUAACUACGUGCCAGCAGCCGCGGUAAUACGUAGGUGGCAAGCGUUAUCCGGAAUUAUUGGGCGUAAAGCGCGCGUAGGCGGUUUUUUAAGUCUGAUGUGAAAGCCCACGGCUCAACCGUGGAGGGUCAUUGGAAACUGGAAAACUUGAGUGCAGAAGAGGAAAGUGGAAUUCCAUGUGUAGCGGUGAAAUGCGCAGAGAUAUGGAGGAACACCAGUGGCGAAGGCGACUUUCUGGUCUGUAACUGACGCUGAUGUGCGAAAGCGUGGGGAUCAAACAGGAUUAGAUACCCUGGUAGUCCACGCCGUAAACGAUGAGUGCUAAGUGUUAGGGGGUUUCCGCCCCUUAGUGCUGCAGCUAACGCAUUAAGCACUCCGCCUGGGGAGUACGACCGCAAGGUUG
RNAcentral lists this ribosomal RNA (549 nucleotides) under uncultured bacterium. RNAcentral describes it as "bacterial SSU rRNA". It matches the Rfam family "Bacterial small subunit ribosomal RNA", at positions 356 to 896 of the family's 1533-position model. The record is from RNAcentral.